This 274-nucleotide ribosomal RNA is filed under the name uncultured bacterium. RNAcentral describes it as "partial 16S ribosomal RNA". It matches the Rfam family "Bacterial small subunit ribosomal RNA", at positions 523 to 796 of the family's 1533-position model. The record is from RNAcentral.
AUACGGAGGGUGCGAGCGUUAAUCGGAAUUACUGGGCGUAAAGCGCGCGUAGGCGGUUUGGUCAGUCGGAUGUGAAAGCCCCAGGCUCAACCUGGGAAUGGCAUUCGAAACUGCAUGGCUAGAGUCUGAUAGAGGGAAGUGGAAUUUCCGGUGUAGCGGUGAAAUGCGUAGAUAUCGGAAGGAACAUCAGUGGCGAAGGCGACUUCCUGGAUCAAGACUGACGCUAAGGUGCGAAAGCGUGGGGAGCAAACAGGAUUAGAAACCCCGGUAGUCC